Non-coding RNA from Paramuricea clavata, 630 nucleotides. Lineage: Eukaryota; Metazoa; Cnidaria; Anthozoa; Malacalcyonacea; Plexauridae. The record is from the annotation of a GenBank genome assembly.
CAGUACGUCCUUGUGUUUUGAGAAUAUUGGUAAACUGUAUGGCUGUUAAGUUUCAAAUUUUGCCAUUUGUCGUGCUCCAGCCCAAAGCAUGCCAAGCAGGCUGGUCAUUUCAUUGUUUAACUGCCCCACACUCAAAGGACACUUUUUGCAUCUUCUGAGAACUUGGGGGGCCUUGGCCCCCUGGUUCCUAUGCCCCUGGUUGACAGCCAAUUUCAGAUGUGAAUAGUGUACUUAUUCACUACCGGUACAUCAGUGUGCUCUGAUUCUAGCCGUUGUUGUCUCUCAAACCAUGAUAACUCAAAGUUGAGCCUACCAAUGUCUUGUUUAUUUCAAGUGAAACAAAAUUUUGUGUAAUAGUGAUUUACUGUAUAUAUUAGUAUAAAUUUUUACAAAUUAUUCAACUAAGGUAAUAUAUUGUUCUAGUCUUAUUGUUCACCUAUUCAUUUAUAAUCUGUUUUAAUAAUUAUUUUAUAGCAUAUGUACAAAUUAUUGCAUAUUACUCUUUUGAAGCAGUGCUGUCAUUAAGUUUACAAGUAGGUGGCCGAAAAAUUAUUGAACAUUGAAGGCACAAGACUCCUAGAGGGGUCUGGGUUGGAAAUGCCAUUCCCUGCAUUUGGGAAGGUAUUUUAC